GAGCAGUAGUAAUGCUAGUAUCUUGAAUAAAAAUAGUGAGAGAGGAGUAUCUUCUAGAACUGGGUCUGGGACCAAGUCUUCUCCUGACCUGUGGGAGUGAAGUUUAACUGGACUGCAACGCCCAGCGAGGGAUCAGUGGGAACGCAGGGUUUUGUUUAAAAAGUUUCUCCAGCCAGCUCAGCUAAAAUGAGACCAUCAAUUCUUCAAAGUGCAUGAAAGCCU
RNAcentral lists this long non-coding RNA (222 nucleotides) under Meleagris gallopavo (turkey). Its description in RNAcentral is "lncRNA (ENSMGAG00000018465.1)". The record is from RNAcentral. Lineage: Eukaryota; Metazoa; Chordata; Aves; Galliformes; Phasianidae.